CAGCAACUCAAAAGUCAGUUAGAGUCUGUGGUAGCCAGAAAGUCUGUGGUAGCCAGAAAGGAGGUUAGGAAGCAGCUUGCAUUGGGACGUAUGGUGGGAUCCCCUUGAUUCUCCUUCUAGUCCCGAUUUUCAUUUAUCCCCAUUGGGGAUCGUCCCUAAGAAAGCCCCAUAUAAUUCCAUCUGAUCCAUAUUUAUCGCACCCCAAAGGCACCUCAGUGAAUGAUGCUAUCCCUCCGGAAUUGUUCCGUGAAAUAUGCAUCUUUGGAUCAGGCAGUUGAGCUUACCAACAAAUUGGAGGAGGUGCCUUGUUGGCAUUAUGCGAUAUUGAAUUGGCUGUUAGGCUGCUGCCGGUUCACCCUCAAGAUUUUAAGUAGUUAGGCUUUAAUUGGAUGGUCCUUAUAUGGAUAAGGCGUUGCCAGUUGUUUGCUCAAUAGGCUGUGCAGCACUUGAGUCCUUUAGCGCCUUUCUGGAUUGAACAUUGCGAGUCAAGACUCGUUUAACUGGGGGUAUCGUUAUGUGGAUUAUUUUACUGGCUGGUUCAUGUGACACCAGCCUCUGCUUAGCUUACUAGAUGCCCCUUUAUUCCCUGAGGAGCUGGGUGUUCUGUUGGCAGUGGAGGACAGUGGCUCCUACUGCCCCUUUUAAUGUAUUUGGGGGCUAGCUGGAUACCGUUGCUCAAACAUCUGCUUGCCUGUGGAAAAGCUGUUUGCCUUGAAGGAUGUUAUUCUUGUAAUACUUCCUCUGAAGCAAGUGUUGCUUUGUCAGAUCCUAUCAUUCCUAGGUCAGUUAAAUUUUGCAUGCAGGGUGGUUGCUCCAGGCUGCCCCUUCCAUUCCUGCUUGGCCAGGUGGUCUCAUGGCCCAGUGUCCCUUCAUCAUCAUGUACAGUGGCCUUGAGCCUGGCAGGGCAAGGCAAUCACAUGUAACCUAACUUUUCUUGAGUUUUCCUCAUUGUAGUGUCAGCGCACAUCUGGACUGAGGAGUUUAGGGACCGUCAGGUAUGUCUUGGUCUGAUAACCAGGCAGUGUGAGAGUCCUGGCAAAACGGUCUUCAUGCUCUGGCAGAGUCUUUGCACUGCUUAAGGUUUAAUAUUGCGUUUCUGCUCACUUUAUUUCGGGAUCAUCUAAUGUUUUUGCUGUGGCUCUAUCCCGUUUUUUCAGUUGGAAAGCUUCAGAUCCUGGGCUCUGGACACCCAGCUAUUUUUCUGGAGCUCCUGUGGCACUUGGCAACAAUUAAUAAUUAUGAGGAAUAGUAGCUUACGUUUCCCCAUCCGCUUUCAGGUCUUAUGAGAAGGCCUGGACUGAUUUCUUAAAAUUUAGCUGGUAGUCCUCGGCCAUUCAGAGGAACCUGCCCCCAUCCUCUGAGCAGGACCUGCAGUAAUUCGCCCACCUGCUGCAGAUAGGAUACAGUGUUAAAACUAUCAGAAUUCAGUCCGCUGCAAUUUCUGCUAGAGUAAAGCUUUAAUUUUCAGAGACCCUUCUAAAAGUGUGUCAUGCGCAGGGUCUCGGAAGGUUGGAAUAGGCUCUGACCUUCACAGGACAGCAGGCAGGAAGCCGGUCAAUCUUUGACCUAUGCAGUAUCUGCAACAAGUUGAGACUUGUUGGCUGGUUCAAGAUCAAGACGAGACUUAUUUCAGUAUUCCAUUGUAAUUUUGGUGUACUGAGGGUUGGGGAAAUUGUGUUGGAGCCAGCACGGGGCUGAGAGUUUGGAGGCUUAUUGCCUCAGGACUUUUCCUUAUCUGCUUUGGAGCUUGUCAUAAGUGUCUGGAGCUCUAAGUCAGACCUAGUGAGCAGGGUUGCCACCAUCAGGCUUCCAGUCACAGGUGAGGUGGGCCCUUGCCCUGUUAUUGGAUACCGGAAAUAUUUGGCUUUUCGUUCCCCUGGGGGCUGGCUCGAUCCUAGUGCACAGAAAUGGGUUCCGGUUCGACAGGCAUCUAAUUGCUCACGUCGUGCGCCAGUUAUUGCAGCCUGCAGCUUGCCUACCGCUGAACACGCCUCAUUCCUUCCAAAUAGGUGCUGCUGCAGAGGGUGCGCAUUGGGGCCUGUUAGUGGACAGGAUUGUGAAUACGGGUCAUUGGAAGUCUGACGCUGACAAAGGUUAUGUCAGGAAGCAUCGCCAAUGAUGCCUGUGCUGAUGCCUGUCUGUUAUUCCUUUUUUCAUAGGAGCAGCUGUGCGCAUUUGGAUUGUCGGCCACAGCAUCAUGCACUGAGCUGGCAAGCACCCUGACGAGUCUGGACUGGGGGCGCCAUCUCGGCCUUCCUGCCCAUGUUUCUAGCUCCAGUCCGCAUCUGGAUAGUGGGGCACAGCAUCGUUUACUGGGCUGGCAUCAGAGCUAGGCAGUCUGGAAGGGGACUGGGUCUUGGCCUCCCGCAGCAUGUGCAGGUGUUGUGGAUGUCCAGGCGCAGAAUGCAGUGGAGCGAAUUCAUCCCGCUAAUUAAGCAGAGGGUGCUUUCGGAUGCCCCCCCCCAUGGCAAUUGUGGUUCAGCUGGGGGAGAACGAUGUGGCAACUUAUGAUUGCUUUACUUUGCGCUCCACGAUUCAGAGAGACUUGGGUGAAUUGGUGACCUUAAUACCCACAGUUAAAAUAUUUUGGUCACAAUUGCUGCAAAGGCGCAAUUGGCACGGCAUUUCUCGACCUGAGGCUGCUGAAAGGGCCAGGAAGCGCAUUAAUUCUGCAGUGUGUAAGAAGGUGGCGGAAUUGGGUGGGUUGGUUAUUUCCCGCCCGGAUAUUACCUUCAAGGCUCUGGCCCUUUACCGCAAUGAUGGAGUACAUCUCUCUGUACUGGGGAAUGAUGUUUGGUUGGAUGCGGUAACUGCAAGGUUGAAGGUUGGGUUGGGAUUGUGAGUGGUUGGCGGCGAGCGAAAAGGGCUCGAUUGGCGGUUAGGCAUUGGUUAUAAAUUGGUGGAGGAGGGGUUAGGAUAGGCUGGGCCUGCCCCUCCAUGGUUGCUGCGGAAAGGGAAUUCCGUUAAAGGAAUCCUGGGGCUUGCCAUCUUUUCGUCCAAUCCCUGGAAUGGGACUAGGGCCGGCAAGCCUUCGGGGAGCAUGCGGAUGAGAAUUGAGGGUCUGUGACCCAGCUCCAUUUCUCUCCGACUUGCUUUCCCCCGCACUGUCUUUCGGUGGUGCCCGGAAGUCAGUUCUGUCCCCAGGCGGGGGGACAGAUAGUCUUAACCAAUGCCUAAACAACCACUCACAGUUUUGUAUUUAAAUAAAGUUGUGGCCAAAAUUAUGCCAAAAACCUUAAACAAAAAUUAAGUGUGCGUUGUGAGUUAUUUGGGGGGUGGCUUGGGGACC
RNAcentral lists this long non-coding RNA (3289 nucleotides) under Podarcis lilfordi (Lilford's wall lizard). Lineage: Eukaryota; Metazoa; Chordata; Lepidosauria; Squamata; Lacertidae. The record is from RNAcentral.